UGGCUGAUGGCGGAUGCCUUGGUGCCAAUAGGCGAUGAAGGACGCGACAAGCUGCGAUAAGCCACGGAUAGCGGCAAAUACGCUUUGACCCGUGGACGUCCGAAUGGGGUAACCCGGCUGGGUGAAUGCCCAGUCGCCAGUGUGUGAAUCAAUAGCACACUGCGCGCAAUACCUGGUGAAGUGAAACAUCUCAGUAACCGCAGGAAAAGAAAUCAACCGAGAUUCUCCUAGUAGCGGCGAGCGAACGGGGAGGAGCCCAAACCCGGGCGGCGCACGAGCCCGUUGGCGCUGCCGUUCGGGGGUUGAACGACUCAGUUGGAGGGGGCGACGGACCCCUCGCUUGGGUGCGACACGCAGCCGAACAUCGCUGGAACGGGUGGCCGGAGCGGGUGAGAGCCCCGUAGGCGAAAGGCGAAAGCACCUAUCCGGCACCUGAGUAGGACCAGACACGUGAAAGCUGGUCUGAAUCCACGGGGCCCAUCCCGUAAGGCUAAGUACUCGCUGGCGACCGAUAGUGCACGAGUACCGUGAGGGAAAGGUGAAAAGAACCCCGGAAGGGGAGUGAAAUAGAUCCUGAAACCGCAUGCUUACAAAAAGUCGGAGCCCGCAAGGGUGACGGCGUACCUUUUGUAUAAUGGGUCAGCGACUUAUAUUCUGUAGCAAGGUUAACCGAAUAGGGGAGCCGUAGGGAAACCGAGUCUUAAUAGGGCGACUAGUUGCAUGCCGUAGACCCGAAACCGGGUGACCUAUCCAUGGCCAGGUUGAAGCGAGGGUAAAACUUCGUGGAGGACCGAACCACGUUGCUGUUGAAAAAGCAUGGGAUGAGCUGUGGAUAGCGGAGAAAUUCCAAUCGAACUCGGAGAUAGCUGGUUCUCCCCGAAAUGCAUUUAGGUGCAGCGUUGCGUGUUUCGUGCCGGAGGUAGAGCACUGGAUAGGCGAUGGGCCCCACCGGGUUACUGACCUUAGCCAAACUCCGAAUGCCGGUAAGUGAGAGCAUGGCAGUGAGACUGCGGGGGAUAAGCUCCGUAGUCGAGAGGGAAACAGCCCAGAACAUCAGCUAAGGCCCCUAAGCGUGUGCUAAGUGGGGAAGGAUGUGGAGUUGCACAGACAACCAGGAGGUUGGCUUGGAGGCAGCCAUCCUUGAAAGAGUGCGUAAUAGCUCACUGGUCAAGUGAUUCCGCGCCGACAAUGUAGCGGGGCUCAAGUACACCGCCGAAACCGUGGCAUUCAAGCUUUUGUUUGGAUGGGUAGGGGAGCGUCGUGCACGAGGUGAAGCCAGCGGGGAACUUCUGGUGGAUUGUGUACGAGUGAGAAUGCAGGCAUGAGUAGCGAAAGACGGGUGAGAAACCCGUCCGCCGGAUGACCAAGGGUUCCAGGGUCAAGCUAAUCUGCCCUGGGUAAGUCGGGACCUAAGGCGAGGCCGACAGGCGUAGUCGAUGGAUAACCGGUUGAUAUUCCGGUACCCGCUGUGAAGCGUCAAACAUCGAACCCAUUAAUGCUAAGGCCGUGAAGCCGCCCUGAUCUCUUCGGAGUUGAGGGGAGUGGUGGAGCCGCUGACCCAAGGUGGUAGUAGGUGAGUGAUGGGGUGACGCAGGAAGGUAGUCCAUCCCGGGCGGUGGUUGUCCCGGGGUAAGGGUGUAGGACGCAGGGUAGGCAAAUCCGCCUUGCACAUAGUCUGAGACCUGAUGCCGAGCCGAUUGUGGUGAAGUGGAUGAUCCUAUGCUGUCGAGAAAAGCCUCUAGCGAGUUUCGAGCGGCCCGUACCCCAAACCGACACAGGUGGUCAGGGUGAGAAUCCCAAGGCGCUUGAGAGAACUCCGGUUAAGGAACUAGGCAAAUUGUAGCCGUACCUUCGGAAGAAGGCUAGCCUCUUGGUGUGUAGUGCACAACGAAGCAUCGGGAGGUCGCAGAGAAAUGGGGGUUGCGACUGUUUACCAAAAACACAGGUCUCUGCCAACCCGCAAGGGGACGUAUAGGGGCUGACACCUGCCCAGUGCCGGAAGGUUAAGAGGAGCGGUCAGGCGCAAGCCGAAGCUGCGAAUUGAAGCCCCGGUGAACGGCGGCCGUAACUAUAACGGUCCUAAGGUAGCGAAAUUCCUUGUCGGGUAAGUUCCGACCCGCACGAAUGGCCUCAUGAGUGGAGCACUGUCUCAACGAAGGACCCGGCGAAAUUGAAGUACGUGUGAAGAUGCGCGUUACCCGCACUAGGACAAAAAGAC
Molecule: ribosomal RNA, 2218 nt
Filed under: Selaginella bryopteris
Lineage: Eukaryota; Viridiplantae; Streptophyta; Lycopodiopsida; Selaginellales; Selaginellaceae
Description: bacterial LSU rRNA
Rfam family: Bacterial large subunit ribosomal RNA
Source: RNAcentral